GACGAACGCUGGCGGCGUGCCUAAUACAUGCAAGUCGAACGCUUCUUUCCUCCCGAGUGCUUGCACUCAAUUGGAAAGAGGAGUGGCGGACGGGUGAGUAACACGUGGGUAACCUACCCAUCAGAGGGGGAUGACACUUGGAAACAGGUGCUAAUACCGCAUAACAGUUUAUGCCGCAUGGCAUAAGAGUGAAAGGCGCUUUCGGGUGUCGCUGAUGGAUGGACCCGCGGUGCAUUAGCUAGUUGGUGAGGUAACGGCUCACCAAGGCCACGAUGCAUAGCCGACCUGAGAGGGUGAUCGGCCACACUGGGACUGAGACACGGCCCAGACUCCUACGGGAGGCAGCAGUAGGGAAUCUUCGGCAAAGGACGAAAGUCUGACCGAGCAACGCCGCGUGAGUGAAGAAGGUUUUCGGAUCGUAAAACUCUGUUGUUAGAGAAGAACAAGGACGUUAGUAACUGAACGUCCCCUGACGGUAUCUAACCAGAAAGCCACGGCUAACUACGUG
Molecule: ribosomal RNA, 508 nt
Filed under: uncultured bacterium
Lineage: Bacteria
Description: partial 16S ribosomal RNA
Rfam family: Bacterial small subunit ribosomal RNA
Source: RNAcentral